This 70-nucleotide ribosomal RNA is filed under the name uncultured archaeon. The record is from RNAcentral.
UAGCGGCCACAGCGACAGGGAAACACCCGGUCUCAUCUCGAACCCGGAAGUUAAGCCUGCCAGCGAUGUU